Hordeum vulgare subsp. vulgare (domesticated barley) is the source of this 129-nucleotide non-coding RNA. The record is from Rfam. NCBI's taxonomy places the organism in Eukaryota, Viridiplantae, Streptophyta, Magnoliopsida, Poales, Poaceae.
UAACUACUCCCUGCGUCCCAAAAUUCUUAUUUGUUUAGAUAUGAAUGUAUCUAGUCAAGUUUUAGUAUUUAGAUACAUUCAUUUUUAGACAAAGUUAAGACAAGAAUUUUGGGACGGAGGGAGUACAUA